RNAcentral lists this non-coding RNA (46 nucleotides) under Schistosoma mattheei. Lineage: Eukaryota; Metazoa; Platyhelminthes; Trematoda; Strigeidida; Schistosomatidae. The record is from RNAcentral.
CCAUUGCUGAAGGGUCCAAUACUAGGACGAAACGGCUGUCCAAUGC